UCCCUCAUGGCUCAGCUGGUAAAGAAUCCGCCUGCAAUGCAGGAGACCUGGGUUCGAUCCCCGGGUUGGGGAG
This is a non-coding RNA of Bos taurus (domestic cattle), 73 nucleotides long. The record is from Rfam. Lineage: Eukaryota; Metazoa; Chordata; Mammalia; Artiodactyla; Bovidae.